This is a long non-coding RNA of Oncorhynchus masou masou (cherry salmon), 583 nucleotides long. RefSeq lists it as uncharacterized. The record is from RefSeq and is a predicted model, not a curated record. The transcript is spliced from 4 exons. NCBI's taxonomy places the organism in Eukaryota, Metazoa, Chordata, Actinopteri, Salmoniformes, Salmonidae.
GCUUGUUUUUUUCUCUCUGGCAUGCACUGUCAGCUGUGGGACCUUAUAUAUCAAGUCAAAGAGCUCAAUUUCAAGUCUCAUAGCAAAGGGUCUGAGAAAGCUUUGCAAAUCCUUCUGUGAAAACAGCAUCCUUUGCCGCUCAAACGGAUUGCAAGCGGAGUGCAACCCUACCUCAACAAUUGAAAAUACACUACACGACCAGAGUCUCUCUGAGACAUGUGCACUUGUCUCCUCAGGAAGAGCCACUACACCUCCUGUGUCCAUCAUCUGGAUAGCAAUAUGUAGGAGGAAUUGGUAGCCAGCCAUACGACCAGUGCUGAGAGAGCGUGACCUGCGCUACCAAUGCCAACACCACCACUUGCACGACCGUUCUGUUGCUAAGAUCCAUGGGAGCUGGAAAGAAAGCUAGUCAAAUACUAGCUCAAUGUGAUCGUCAAAAAUAAUGUAUUUUUACAUCAAGCAGAAGUUUGCGAUCAUCUUGCAAUGAUUACCUAUUGAAUAUGCACAUUGUACAGUAUAUAUGAACAACCCACAAAUGCACAUUAGUUAACAAUGUUAAAUAUACUUAUAUGAAUCACAUACU